GAUGACCUCUUUAAGUCUAUCAAAAGUGUGCAAGUUUGAGCAUGUGUACAUUCGGCCUAUGGAUUUAUUUAUUUUAUCAGUAUGAAUUAGAUUGAGCAAUAGAAGCCCCACGUUUAUUCCAUAGGAUGGGAUCCGCACUAUGCAGCUGUUGCCAGAACGCAUUUUUCACUGGCUGUCCACUGGUUUGAAAAACAAUGAUUGAUAGGCAGCUUAAACUUCUUGAAUUCAACCAUUAUUGGGUUCAAAUACACAUUUAGAUUUGUGAACAGCUAUCCACAACAACCACAAUCCGUAAGGCGCAAUAACUAAAUGAGAGAGCAGCAGUGGGAUUCACAUCAAUGCGCUAUGUAGAUAUCAAUAAUAAGUGAUAUCCGUAGCGCCGUAGACUACACAACUGCUGUCAUUCGUACCUCCAAGUGUUUAUUCAAGUUGGAUAAUCUUUGGAUGCCGACAGCAGUCACACCAUUGGAAGACAUAGCUUGGACUGUAGCCUACAAAAGCCUAUUCCUGAGCUAUGUUCGAAUACCCGUACUAACAUACUGUAUACAACAUACUUAAUGAGUAUAUACUACAUACUAUAUACAAUUUGUUAAUUUUACUUACUAUAAAUGAACAGUAUGCUUUCAGUUGAGCGUACUAGCUCUUCACCUGUCUACCGGAAGUUGAUGCUCUUGCUAUGCAACCUCUUGCUAGCUAGUUAGCAUAACAAAUUACUAGUUAGACAUUCGGGUGUGUUAGAAAGAGGAGGAAGGGAAGCGCUACUAAGGUACACAAUAGUACAUUUUGGUAGACAGAAGGUGCUCUUUGGUAUAAGUGGUGAAUUAGUCAUCAAAAAGAAAGGAGGACCAAGGCACUUCUUAAAUUCAAUCUGGAGUGCCAGAGUGCGCUCGUAGAUUCAGAACGUUGUCAGAUUGUCCAUUUGUAAAUUCAGAGCAUAUCGCUCUCGGAGUGCACACUGGACGCUCAGGCCGAGAAGUAGGGUUUGUUUGAGCAUUCUGACCUUACAACGGCAGUCAAGCACCCAAGCUAACAUUGGCUAGCUUGCCAGCUACUUACAAACACAAAUGAGACCACUCUGACCAUUUUACUCGCCCUAGCAGAGCUGGUUAGGCAGUUUUCCUGUUAUCCAGAGUGUUGGUGACUGUAACUGUGCUGCUGGCAACAAUUUGAUUAGAGGUUUACUGACACCGGCCAUAUUCAACAGGUGUUGAGUGCUGGUAAAUUCAUUAUGCUGCAGUGAAAGUGCUCUGAAAUCGGAGUAGACACUGCGCACAAUGACUAUACCAUUUAGCUAAGCUAAGAAUGACGGGAAUAAUCAAGUCAAUAAACAUUGGGUAGAUAGCCUAUAUUUAAUAUACUGGCAAGUUUGAUGUAUAAGUAGCCAACUAACGUUAGGUAGCUAACUAACAACAUACCGGUACAUACUGCUGUAAUGAUACGCUAUGUGGUUCGUAAGGACAGCAUAGCUAACAAAUUGUCAGCCAUUAGAACGUGUGAGGUAACUUAUUUGAAAAGUUAUUACUUUAUUAUAUUGCUCAACAUUUUCUUAACAUUUGUCAUAAUUAGUUAAAGCAGUGAAUUUGUAUCCGCUCUCUGCAUAUUUUCCGCCAUUUUCUUCAAAUAUGGAAACAAUGUGAAGCCACACCCAUUUCCUGAAGAAUUGCAUUAUGGGCCCUGAAGUAUGGAAUUAGUGUCCUCUGCGUGUAUACUUCAUAUUUUGGCGAAUUUAGUACGACAUCCCGGAACUUUUGGUAUACUAACUAUAUCCAUACUAUGACCAAUAAGCAGACUAUAUACUCAAUUCACGUCACAAAUAGUAUGGUUAGUGCGGUUUUCAUGAGAAUUCAAACACAGCUCUGCUCUUUUCCCGCGAUCCAUCAAACACAUUUGGUGUGUCAUUAUUGUGGUCUUUGACUUGUGGUCAGACUCACUUAAAUUUGUGUCUUUUUUCAAUGCUGAUUUGAAUGUCUGAGAAAACAGAGAAGUGUCCGAUUUUUUUUUUGCAAACAUCCUUUCUGAAUUUAAAAGUAAUCCUCUAAAUAAUCAUCUAGUUUUUCAAAAGUAUCUGUAAUCUGAUUACAAUAUUUUUGCUGGUAACGUAACAAAUUACAAUUACCGUUUUUUGUAAUCCCUUACGUGUAACAGAUUACAUGUAAUCCGUUACUCCCCAACCCUGAAAACAAGCAAGCACAUAUGAAGGGAGAUAGCUAAACAUUCAGCAGAUUCUAUGCAGUUUUGUUUAUUAGCAACAGUUUAUGCAGAUGCAAAACAUUCACAAGCCCCACACACCCAUAACAAUCAUAUAGUGUGAAUAAUGUAGCGAAUUCAGGGGUAGCCCUGACCAGGAUUUGAACUUGAACAGUCCAGUGACUGUCAGCCCAACACCUUAGCCCUUACGCACUAAUCAUCAAGGACAGAGAUCCCAACCUCUUUUAAGGUCACGACACUACCCCCUUCCUUUGAAUUCUCACGCUUCUUUAUGCCAAGACCUUCACUUUAACAAACGCCUCUCCGAUGGCCUCACUGGCACCAUCCCACGUUUCACACCAAUGUAGUGAAUUGUAGUGAAUUGAGGGGUAGCCUUGACCGGGACUCAAACCAGGUUCCAGCCACUGUCAACCCAACACCUCCUAGGUGUUGUUUGUUUAGGUAUUGGGUCGCUACAAUAGGUUAACAUGUUGCCUUGUGUUUUCCUCCUCACCGGAUGCCUUCCAAUCGGGGAAGAUCCCGCCUAGUCCGCUCACUGGUUCCCUAGUCCGUUAUGUUUUUAUCAGCUUGUCAAAAAAAUAUCUUCAAAAAGUAGGUUAACUUCGCACGUUCAUCCAAAAUAAUUCCAGCAUCCGAACAGUGCACUGUGCACCCGCCAACUUCCCUUGAAUUUGUGGCCCUCCACGCCCAGGCAUGCUACCAGUACCUGGGCCCCAUAUGGGUGGUCAUGGUCCCCCUAUGAUGCAAAUGAGGGGCCCCCCACCACAUGGAAAGAUGCCUGGAGGUCCAGGUAUGCGAACACCAAUGGGCCACAUGCAGAUGAUGCUUGGCACACAUAUGAUGCGCCCCCAUCGGCAAAUGAUGCUAAUCAGACCGGGUAUGAUCCGGCCAAACAGACCUAAAAUCAAGUGGCUCUCGGUUCUGCACUGCAAUAAAUGCUCUUGGAGGUCACUGCUGCCCCAAAUGCAUUGUUUGGGUUUUUGAAAUGGCCACCUAUUGUCUCGACUCUAAAACCCUUUUGGUUAGAGUAAACACUGUGUUUCAGCAAGCUCCCGUGGCAUUAGUUAAUUUAUCUCUUUAUAUUAAUUUCUUAGCUUGAAAAAGUAGUAGACACGUUUUCAACCAACAACUUGGUUGGCAACCCUGAUGUCUGUCAUUGAAAGAAUGCUUGUUUUCUUCACGACGCAAAAUGUCUGUAAGUUUAUUUUAUGAUACUUUAAGGUCCUAUUCUACUGUAGAUACACAGGAGGUCAAGUGAGUGUGUGAGAAUGAACUGUCUGUUACUAUUGUUGAGGAGAUGUGGGAGGACAUUUGGAGAUAUGCAAAAACAAUAUCUAUCUGUAAUCGCAUUAGAGCAAUCCAAUUAAGAAUAAAGCACACAUUGCAUAUA
Molecule: long non-coding RNA, 3598 nt
Organism: Salvelinus fontinalis (brook trout)
Lineage: Eukaryota; Metazoa; Chordata; Actinopteri; Salmoniformes; Salmonidae
Exons: 3
Source: RefSeq, a predicted model, not a curated record